This 1198-nucleotide long non-coding RNA is filed under the name Capra hircus (goat). Its description in RNAcentral is "lncRNA (ENSCHIG00010024871.1)". The record is from RNAcentral. Lineage: Eukaryota; Metazoa; Chordata; Mammalia; Artiodactyla; Bovidae.
GCACAGAGUUGAACACGACUGAAGCGACUUAGCAGCAGCAGCAGCAGCAGAGUAGUUCAGGAGCUCCGGGGCAAUUUUAUGUGUCACACAAUUUAGAAUCUUAUCAUACACUGCGUCAGAUAGGUGCCUCUGUUUUCAUUGACUCCAGGUGAAACCCAGGCAAGCUGGCAGUAACUGACAGCUUUCCCAGACUAAAGCAAAGUUAUUACUUAAAUGGACAGCCUUUAGCAGGGGAAGGCGGCCACACAGAGCCCAGACCAGCAGUAUAUAAUUGCAACUGAGGUGUCAGAAGAAAAUAUGUACUGAGCAUUUGAAGACCUUAGAAUAAAUGCAAUGACUGGGCUGAAGGCUAAGACCCCACCUCUUAAGCUUCCAUCCCCCCACAGGGCCUCGGAAAGUGCCCAGCACACCACUGACUCUCAAUACUACGGUUCAGCUGUUUGAAAUCAAACAAACCAUGCCUGGGGGCGGAGGGGAGGGGGUGGGAUUCAUUCUUUGAGGUAGGAGGCUGCUGCUCUGGAAUUUCUAGACAGAUUCUCCUAGACAGAUCCGUCAGCCCUGUGGGUGAGAAAAGCAGCCAGGCUUCCUUUGUAUUUCUCAGGGUGGGGCGGGGGAUUUCCACUCCUCUCUGUUAAUAUCACAGAUGCUGCUGUCAAGAAGGACUGGGGGGUGGUAUAGAGACAGUAAUUAAAGGUGUCAUAUUUGGGCUUUGUCUCCAUGGGCCCGGCAGACCUGGCUGGGAAUGAAGGAAUUUUGUUGUUCACCAGAUGCAGGACCAGUGAGGGGGGCCGUGGAGACCACCCCUCAGGUUCCCUCAGGCCAGGGGAGGCCACUGGGAGGCCCUCAAGUGUUCUAACAAAGACGGCAAUGAGAGUGAUAGUAACAAGCAUGAACGCAAACAUCUGUACCAGUGCUUUAUAGGUUUUAAAGGCACUUUUGAGCUCAUACCAUCCUUCCCCCCACACACACAUUUUUAACAUACCAAAUUGGCCAUGAUUUUUUUUUAAAUUUUUAUUUUAUAUUGGAAUAUUGGUGAUUAACAACAUUGUUAGUUUCAGUUGUAUAGUAAAAUGCUUUGGUUAUACAUAUACAUGUAUCUGUUCUUUUUCAGGUUCUUUCAAACACAGUGAGGUAGGCAGAGGAAUACUUACCAGCCUUUGGAAAGACCUAGGAUGUUCUGGGCUGGGGAAGGAGACGG